RNAcentral lists this small nucleolar RNA (76 nucleotides) under Drosophila virilis. Its description in RNAcentral is "snoRNA:GJ25424". Lineage: Eukaryota; Metazoa; Arthropoda; Insecta; Diptera; Drosophilidae. The record is from RNAcentral.
GCUAGCAUGAUGAUUGAUAUAUUCUUACCUACAUUAUUUGAACGAGAAAUCGUGUAACAAACCUUCAACUGAUUCA